UACGUAGGGUGCAAGCGUUGUCCGGAAUUAUUGGGCGUAAAGAGCUCGUAGGCGGUUCGUCGCGUCGGCUGUGAAAACCCGGGAGCUCAACUCCGGGCCUGCAGUCGAUACGGGCGGACUUGAGUUCGGCAGGGGAGACUGGAAUUCCUGGUGUAGCGGUGAAAAUGCGCAGAUAUCAGGAGGAACACCGGUGGCGAAGGCGGGGUCUCUGGGCCGAUACUGACGCUGAGGAGCGAAAGCGUGGGUAGCAAACAGG
RNAcentral lists this ribosomal RNA (256 nucleotides) under uncultured bacterium. RNAcentral describes it as "partial 16S ribosomal RNA". It matches the Rfam family "Bacterial small subunit ribosomal RNA", at positions 524 to 776 of the family's 1533-position model. The record is from RNAcentral.